UCCCCCUGCCCUCAAUCUUUCCCAGCAUCAAGGUCUUGUCCAAUGAGUUGGCUGUUGGCAUUAAGCAGCCAAAGUAUUGGUGCUUCAGCUUCAGCAUCAUUCAUAUUUUUAAUGUUUCAGAUGGUGAUCUUUCUUAAUUACUGGUCCUCCUUUAAUUACUGGCCUUACUUUAGGCCUCCUCAGUUUUUCCUUGAAUUGCUACCAUAAUCAUUUUACUUUUCUUCUGACAUUUGACCUUCCCUUAUACCACUAAUAAUAUAAUCUACAAAUGAUCUCUACACUAAUCUUCACUCCUGUGCUUUCUCUAUGUUUACCACUGAUUUCAGAGAGGAAGUUGAAAAGCUGUGCUACCCUUCCCUGCAAGACUCGACUGGUCCAAAGAAGCUGGUUCCAAGAGGGCCAAGGCUUUCAUGAGUGAGCACAACUAGGUGCCUCCUGGCAACUUUUGUUACUUUGUACCAAGAACACCUGUUAAACAAGAAGAAGCACCAGGGUAAAUAGACAAGUGCAGAAGCCAGUUCUCUAUUGGGUGAUUAUGAUGCUAGAGAAAUUCAGAAGCCAUGUUUUUAUGAAGGUUAUGGGAUGAGAGUCCGAGUCAUCACAUCAGGUAUUGCUCCUGGAGACACUCCACAAUUGCAAAUUACCAUUUCUGGAGAAGGGAAAGGCUAUCCACUCCAGUAUUCUGUCCUGGAGAAUUCCAUGGUCACAGUCCAUGGGGUUGCAAAGAGUUGGACACGACUGAGCAGCUUUCACUUUCAUCUCUGUAUCUGUGUCCCCUAUGACAACCACUAUUAACAUGUUCCAUGUUGAUGUCUAGGGAGUUACCAUUUCAAACCUGGCUCAUUCAGGCACUGACUCAUGGCUGUUCCUCAGGCAUAUCAUUUAAGAUCCGUGGUCUCAUUUUAAGCCAGCCAGGAAAUUGGGCCCAAACUCCAGACUGGAGACCUUUGAAAAUCAUGUUAAACCGUAUUA
Molecule: long non-coding RNA, 972 nt
Organism: Bubalus bubalis (water buffalo)
Lineage: Eukaryota; Metazoa; Chordata; Mammalia; Artiodactyla; Bovidae
Exons: 4
Source: RefSeq, a predicted model, not a curated record